RNAcentral lists this ribosomal RNA (446 nucleotides) under uncultured bacterium. RNAcentral's name for it is "bacterial SSU rRNA". It matches the Rfam family "Bacterial small subunit ribosomal RNA", at positions 28 to 484 of the family's 1533-position model. The record is from RNAcentral.
GACGAACGCUGGCGGCGUGCCUAACACAUGCAAGUCGAGCGGGGAGGAGGAAGCUUGCUUCCGAAUCCUAGCGGCGGACGGGUGAGUAACGCGUGAGCAACCUGCCUUGAACUGGGGGAUAACGCAUCGAAAGAUGUGCUAAUACCGCGUAAGACCACAGUACCGCAUGGUACAGGGGUCAAAGGAGCAAUCCGGUUUAAGAUGGGCUCGCGUCCGAUUAGCUAGUUGGUGAGAUAACAGCCCACCAAGGCAACGAUCGGUAGCCGACCUGAGAGGGUGAUCGGCCACAUUGGAACUGAGACACGGUCCAGACUCCUACGGGAGGCAGCAGUGGGGAAUAUUGGGCAAUGGGCGAAAGCCUGACCCAGCAACGCCGCGUGAGGAAGAAGGGUUUCGGCUCGGUAAACCUCGUGUCCUAUGGGACGAAGAAGUGACGGUACCAUAGG